UAACCCUUGCCAAGUCGAACGGGGAUACGUUUUCGGAUGUAUUCUAGUGGCGCACGGGUGAGUAACGCGUGAGCGACCUGACCCAAAGAGGGGGAUAACAUCGAGAAAUCGAUGCUAAUACCGCAUAAGACCACGGUAUCGCAUGGUACAGAGGUCAAAGGAGCAAUCCGCUUUGGGAGGGGCUCGCGUCCCAUUAGAUAGUAGGCGGGGUAACGGCCCACCUAGUCAACGAUGGGUAGCCGAGCUGAGAGGCUGAUCGGCCACACUGGAACUGAGACACGGUCCAGACUCCUACGGGAGGCAGCAGUGGGGAAUAUUGGGCAAUGGGCGAAAGCCUGACCCAGCAACGCCGCGUGAGGGAAGAAGGUUUUCGGAUUGUAAACCUCUGUCGCAGAUGACGAAGGAAGUGACGGUAAUCUGUGAGGAAGCCCCGGCUAACUACGUGCCAGCAGCCGCGGUAAUACGUAGGGGGCGAGCGUUGUCCGGAAUUACUGGGCGUAAAGGGUGCGUAGGCGGUUGAUUAAGUUGGAUGUGAAAUACCCGGGCUUAACCUGGGGGGUGCAUUCAAAACUGGUCAACUAGAGUUCAGGAGAGGGAAGCGGAAUUCCUAGUGUAGCGGUGAAAUGCGUAGAUAUUAGGAGGAACACCAGUGGCGAAGGCGGCUU
Molecule: ribosomal RNA, 665 nt
Filed under: bacterium enrichment culture clone bHCH6_B5
Lineage: Bacteria
Description: bacterial SSU rRNA
Rfam family: Bacterial small subunit ribosomal RNA
Source: RNAcentral